RNAcentral lists this ribosomal RNA (471 nucleotides) under uncultured bacterium. RNAcentral's name for it is "partial 16S ribosomal RNA". It matches the Rfam family "Bacterial small subunit ribosomal RNA", at positions 28 to 507 of the family's 1533-position model. The record is from RNAcentral.
GACGAACGCUGGCGGCGUGCUUAACACAUGCAAGUCGAACGAUGAAGCCUAGCUUUCUAGGUGUAUUAGUUGCGAACGGGUGAGUAAUACGUGGGUAAACUACCCUUAACUCUGGGAUAAGCCUGGGAAACUGGGUUUAAUACCGGAUACGACCAAUCUCCCCAUGGGGUGUUGGUGGAAAACUGUUUGUAGUGGUUUUAGGUGGGCUCACGGCCUAUCAGCUUGUUGGUGAGGUUACGGCCCACCAAGGCGACGACGGGUAGCCGGACUGAGAGGGUGACCGGCCACACUGGGACUGAGACACGGCCCAGACUCCUACGGGAGGCAGCAGUGGGGAAUAUUGCACAAUGGGCGCAAGCCUGAUGCAGCGACGCCGCGUGAGGGAUGACGGCCUUCGGGUUGUAAACCUCUGUUAGCAGGGAAGAAGAGAAAUUGACGGUACCUGCAGAGAAAGCGCCGGCUAACUACAUG